RNAcentral lists this unclassified non-coding RNA (205 nucleotides) under uncultured Sebacinaceae. Its description in RNAcentral is "sequence contains ITS2". The record is from RNAcentral. Lineage: Eukaryota; Fungi; Basidiomycota; Agaricomycetes; Sebacinales; Sebacinaceae.
GUACUCUCACACUCUCUGAUUUCAGAUCGGGGAGAGGUGGACUUGGGUGUUGCUGCUUACCUGUGGCUCAUCUCAAAUGCAGUAGUGCACCUCUUGGUCGGACAUAGUACAGCGUGAUAAGUAUCUUCGCUGGCACCUCAAAUGAGGGUGUCUGAUUUGGAGCUCUGCGCUUCAAACUGUCCCUUGGUUUGGACACACUCUGACA